CAGGUCCCUUCCAACUCCAGAAUUUUAAAAGGCUCAUGAUUUCAAGCCAGAAACUAUAUUAUGGGAUGGGGGGUGACAGCAUGGGCUCUCGCGAACACCUGCUCUAGCCACAUGCUGUGCUCCUCUGAAGUGGCCGUUCCAGGGAUUUCCACAUGUACCUGGGACGUGCCCAGCUUCAUGGCAGCCCUGCUCUCCCGGUCAGAAUGCGACCCCGAGCCCCCUGCCGUAGGCAUACAGGACGCGAGACAGACUCUCAGUGGCCCCCUGCAGGACGGCUGAGGCAAAGUGGGGAAUGAGACCUCCCCAGUCUGAGUUGUGUGUGAACAUGGCACUGCUGGUAUCUUUAUUUAAGUGGAGACUUAUGAAAUGGGACAUGGGGGUGUUAACUGGUGUCCUCUCUCCUCCAGGGUGCGGGAUGGGGAAUGGAAAGAGGGUUUUUCUCAUUGCAUGCCUGCACUGCUGAUUUAAAACAGAAGGGUUGUUUCAACAAGACCCAAGAACCAAGUUGAGUGGGUUGUCACUGACUAAAGAUGGACUAGUUUUUGCAUGAAUAAAGAUAACAGUUAUGAUAAAUUAAAACACAUCAAAUGUAUUUAAAGAAAUGAUUUCCUAAUGAUACUAAAAUAAAAAAGAAAGAAAAAUC
Lutra lutra (Eurasian river otter) is the source of this 643-nucleotide long non-coding RNA. RefSeq lists it as uncharacterized. The transcript is spliced from 3 exons. The record is from RefSeq and is a predicted model, not a curated record. NCBI's taxonomy places the organism in Eukaryota, Metazoa, Chordata, Mammalia, Carnivora, Mustelidae.